Molecule: long non-coding RNA, 304 nt
Filed under: Capsella rubella
Lineage: Eukaryota; Viridiplantae; Streptophyta; Magnoliopsida; Brassicales; Brassicaceae
Description: long non-coding RNA (CRUB_LNC002879)
Source: RNAcentral
UGAUUCGAUCUCUUCAAAGUUAAACCUUUUUUUUUGUUUGUUUAGUGUUUGGACUUUUGAGCUUACAAAAUCAGAGUUUUGAAGUUGUUGUGGUUGAGUUGCUUUGAAGUGGCGAAACCAAAGGUAGAGCAUAUGAAAAUGAGGUCUGAGCAAUUGCCCUAGUAUGAGACUUGAAUCUCACAAUUGCAGAGUUGAUUACUAAAAUGAUUCCUUAUUCAUAUGCUCUUGAAAGUUAAGUUUCCACACAAAAAUCUUGAGAAAUCAUUUAUUUGUUGUCUUUCGAAAUUAAUUAUUUUGCACCCAC